UUAAGUUAUUAAGGGCGCACGGUGGAUGCCUUGGCACUAGAAGCCGAUGAAGGACGUUACUAACGACGAUAUGCUUUGGGGAGCUGUAAGUAAGCUUUGAUCCAGAGAUUUCCGAAUGGGGAAACCCAGCAUGAGUUAUGUCAUGUUAUCGAUAUGUGAAUACAUAGCAUAUCAGAAGGCACACCCGGAGAACUGAAACAUCUUAGUACCCGGAGGAAGAAAAAGAAAAUUCGAUUCCCUUAGUAGCGGCGAGCGAAACGGGAAGAGCCCAAACCAACAAGCUUGCUUGUUGGGGUUGUAGGACACUCUAUACGGAGUUACAAAGGACGACAUUAGACGAAUCAUCUGGAAAGAUGAAUCAAAGAAGGUAAUAAUCCUGUAGUCGAAAAUGUUGUCUCUCUUGAGUGGAUCCUGAGUACGACGGAACACGUGAAAUUCCGUCGGAAUCUGGGAGGACCAUCUCCUAAGGCUAAAUACUCUCUAGUGACCGAUAGUGAACCAGUACCGUGAGGGAAAGGUGAAAAGCACCCCGGAAGGGGAGUGAAAUAGAACCUGAAACCGUGUGCUUACAAGUAGUCAGAGCCCGUUAAUGGGUGAUGGCGUGCCUUUUGUAGAAUGAACCGGCGAGUUACGAUUUGAUGCAAGGUUAAGCAGUAAAUGUGGAGCCGUAGCGAAAGCGAGUCUGAAUAGGGCGUUUAGUAUUUGGUCGUAGACCCGAAACCAGGUGAUCUACCCUUGGUCAGGUUGAAGUUCAGGUAACACUGAAUGGAGGACCGAACCGACUUACGUUGAAAAGUGAGCGGAUGAACUGAGGGUAGCGGAGAAAUUCCAAUCGAACCUGGAGAUAGCUGGUUCUCUCCGAAAUAGCUUUAGGGCUAGCCUCAAGUGAUGAUUAUUGGAGGUAGAGCACUGUUUGGACGAGGGGCCCCUCUCGGGUUACCGAAUUCAGACAAACUCCGAAUGCCAAUUAAUUUAACUUGGGAGUCAGAACAUGGGUGAUAAGGUCCGUGUUCGAAAGGGAAACAGCCCAGACCACCAGCUAAGGUCCCAAAAUAUAUGUUAAGUGGAAAAGGAUGUGGCGUUGCCCAGACAACUAGGAUGUUGGCUUAGAAGCAGCCAUCAUUUAAAGAGUGCGUAAUAGCUCACUAGUCGAGUGACACUGCGCCGAAAAUGUACCGGGGCUAAACAUAUUACCGAAGCUGUGGAUUGUCCUUUGGACAAUGGUAGGAGAGCGUUCUAAGGGCGUUGAAGCAUGAUCGUAAGGACAUGUGGAGCGCUUAGAAGUGAGAAUGCCGGUGUGAGUAGCGAAAGACGGGUGAGAAUCCCGUCCACCGAUUGACUAAGGUUUCCAGAGGAAGGCUCGUCCGCUCUGGGUUAGUCGGGUCCUAAGCUGAGGCCGACAGGCGUAGGCGAUGGAUAACAGGUUGAUAUUCCUGUACCACCUAUAAUCGUUUUAAUCGAUGGGGGGACGCAGUAGGAUAGGCGAAGCGUGCGAUUGGAUUGCACGUCUAAGCAGUAAGGCUGAGUAUUAGGCAAAUCCGGUACUCGUUAAGGCUGAGCUGUGAUGGGGAGAAGACAUUGAGUCUUCGAGUCGUUGAUUUCACACUGCCGAGAAAAGCCUCUAGAUAGAAAAUAGGUGCCCGUACCGCAAACCGACACAGGUAGUCAAGAUGAGAAUUCUAAGGUGAGCGAGCGAACUCUCGUUAAGGAACUCGGCAAAAUGACCCCGUAACUUCGGGAGAAGGGGUGCUCUUUAGGGUUAACGCCCAGAAGAGCCGCAGUGAAUAGGCCCAAGCGACUGUUUAUCAAAAACACAGGUCUCUGCUAAACCGUAAGGUGAUGUAUAGGGGCUGACGCCUGCCCGGUGCUGGAAGGUUAAGAGGAGUGGUUAGCUUCUGCGAAGCUACGAAUCGAAGCCCCAGUAAACGGCGGCCGUAACUAUAACGGUCCUAAGGUAGCGAAAUUCCUUGUCGGGUAAGUUCCGACCCGCACGAAAGGCGUAACGAUUUGGGCACUGUCUCAACGAGAGACUCGGUGAAAUCAUAGUACCUGUGAAGAUGCAGGUUACCCGCGACAGGACGGAAAGACCCCGUGGAGCUUUACUGUAGCCUGAUAUUGAAAUUCGGCACAGCUUGUACAGGAUAGGUAGGAGCCUUUGAAACGUGAGCGCUAGCUUACGUGGAGGCGCUGGUGGGAUACUACCCUAGCUGUGUUGGCUUUCUAACCCGCACCACUUAUCGUGGUGGGAGACAGUGUCAGGCGGGCAGUUUGACUGGGGCGGUCGCCUCCUAAAAGGUAACGGAGGCGCUCAAAGGUUCCCUCAGAAUGGUUGGAAAUCAUUCAUAGAGUGUAAAGGCAUAAGGGAGCUUGACUGCGAGACCUACAAGUCGAGCAGGGUCGAAAGACGGACUUAGUGAUCCGGUGGUUCCGCAUGGAAGGGCCAUCGCUCAACGGAUAAAAGCUACCCCGGGGAUAACAGGCUUAUCUCCCCCAAGAGUUCACAUCGACGGGGAGGUUUGGCACCUCGAUGUCGGCUCAUCGCAUCCUGGGGCUGUAGUCGGUCCCAAGGGUUGGGCUGUUCGCCCAUUAAAGCGGUACGCGAGCUGGGUUCAGAACGUCGUGAGACAGUUCGGUCCCUAUCCGUCGUGGGCGUAGGAAAUUUGAGAGGAGCUGUACUUAGUACGAGAGGACCGGGAUGGACAUACCUCUGGUGUACCAGUUGUCGUGCCAACGGCAUAGCUGGGUAGCUAUGUGUGGACGGGAUAAGUGCUGAAAGCAUCUAAGCAUGAAGCCCCCCUCAAGAUGAGAUUUCCCAACUUCGGUUAUAAGAUCCCUCAAAGAUGAUGAGGUUAAUAGGUUCGAGGUGGAAGCAUGGUGACAUGUGGAGCUGACGAAUACUAAUCGAUCGAAGACUUAAUCAA
This 2921-nucleotide ribosomal RNA is filed under the name Staphylococcus aureus SJUD6085. Its description in RNAcentral is "bacterial LSU rRNA". It matches the Rfam family "Bacterial large subunit ribosomal RNA". The record is from RNAcentral. Lineage: Bacteria; Bacillati; Bacillota; Bacilli; Caryophanales; Staphylococcaceae.